GCCAAAAUAGCUCAACGGUAGAGCAACUGUCUUGUAAACAGUAGGUUGCAGGUUCGAUUCCUGUUUUUGGCA
This 72-nucleotide transfer RNA is filed under the name Candidatus Phytoplasma mali AT. It matches the Rfam family "tRNA". Rfam says of the family: Transfer RNA (tRNA) molecules are approximately 80 nucleotides in length. Lineage: Bacteria; Bacillati; Mycoplasmatota; Mollicutes; Acholeplasmatales; Acholeplasmataceae. The record is from Rfam by way of RNAcentral.